ACCCUCCCCCCGAAAAACCCAACCAAACCCAAACCAGCUGCAGCCAUGGGAUAGAACCGGGCGGGGCAGGAGGAGCGGUGGGGUGGCUGGGGCAGCCCAGAGGUGAAGCCCGGCGGCUGCAGAAGGGCCGGGCACCGGCAAGGGGCUGGAGCCGGGAGUCGUCCACAACAGGAGUGAAAAACCCGCCUACCCCGUCUCACCAGGCCCGGCAUUUACAAGUUUUUUCCUCAAGAGGUUUGCGGUUUCCAGCCUUUCCCACCCGGCCCCUCCGCGCAGCACCCGGGACCUUCUGAGCCCCCUCAGCCCCGCAGGCGGGAGGAGCCGGGGGGCCGUGCCCGGGGCAUCCCCGGGGCUGGUUUUUCCGAUGCUUGCGGCUGGAUUGCACUUUUCCCUCAGCUGUUUGAUUUUUUUUUUUUUGUGGUGGUUUUUUUUUUUUUUUUUUUUUUUUUUUUUUUGUUUAAUUCUGCUCCCCCCGCGGCGCGGCUCCCCCCGCAGUGCUCCCGCCCCGCCAAUCCGGGCCCUGCGGGGCUGGGGGGCUCCGGCAGCGCCUUUAAAAGCGGAGCCCUUUGUGCGCCGGAGCCCCGCACCGGCAGCUGCCGGGGCCGGACCGGGAUGUGCCGUGCCGUGCCGUGCCGUGCCGUGCCGUGCCGUGCCGUGCCGUGCCGCCGCCGGGAGGAGCCCUGGACCUCACUGCACCGGCAGCCCCGGGACCCGCGCAUCCCCCUCGGCAGGAGGGACACGGGGAGUGACAGCUCUGAGUGACAGCCACCACCAAGCGCAGCAGUGUGGCCAGCUCGGCAGCGUGCCUCCUUCCUGCAGACCGAGCCACAGGUGAGUGGGAUGUCACCUACCUAACACAGAGGAGCAGAGCCAGGCCUCUGCUAUGGUGGGAGGGGACAAGCCUGGCCAGAGCCUGGCAUGGCAUGGGGAAAAAAAUUAGUCACAAUUAGUCACAGCAGCUGAAAGUCCCCAUUGCCACACACUCUGCCCCAGUGCCUGCUGGAAGUUCCCUGACAGCCAGAUUUCCUCUGGCACAAGCAAAGCACCGGGGGUAAAUGCCCUUGUGCCAGGAAGAUGGGAAUCCCAGCAGGAUGGGAUAUGAACAGCCCCCACGCUGUUACCUGCAGCAGAAAUGCCCUGUAAUGAUCCUGAAAGCACCUUUGGGGGACAGAGGCCAGGUGCCUGUGACACAGAUUGGCAAAACUGUUGCUCCAGUGGGACACAGUAACUGGUUUUGCUCCUCCAGUAUGGUGCAAAGGCUGAUUCCCUCUGCCCUUUUCUGGGCCCUGGCUCCUGCUGCUGCCAUUUGUCCCUGUGCCCUCCUUCCCAGCUGCCUUCCCGUGCUGCAGGGAGGCAGAGCACAGCUGAAAAUACACCUACUGCGUCCCCCCUUCCUGCCUGUUUGCUUCCUCCCCUCCUGGCUUUGCCUUUCAGUGCAGCUUCCCAAGAAAAUAAAGGUCAUACCCUCAUACUUUGCCUACACACACGCAAACACACACGGAAACACACAGACACACACACACACUCAUUCACACACAUACACAAACACAUAAACACACACACACACACACACACACACACACACACACACACACACAAAAGCAAACACAAACACUCACAUAAACACACUCACACACACAUUUGUGUUCUAAUAAACUUUGACCACAUUCCCAUCCCUGUGGACAGAGGGGCGGCAACCUGCAAACAUGCUGAGGUCAGUGGGGCCGGCAAAAAUGUGCAGCUGGGAGAGGGAGAGAGGUUUUCCCUUCCUUUAGCACAGAGUCAGGCUGCUCCACCGCUCAACAUUGGGUGGGGAGAAGCCACAGAUGGUGCACGCAGCACUCCCCACCUGCAGGAAGGGCUUUGAUCAGGUUUCACACCUGAGCUGUGCUGCUGUGGGAGCUCCCUGGGGACCCGGGCAUGACUGCCAGCCCCCUCCCCUGGGAUGGGCCCUGACAGACUCAUUCCACAGCCGUGGGGCUCUGAGUGCUGUGCCUAUGCCUAUGUGCCUGUGCUGUUCAGGCUGGCACCUGAACCCCUGUCAGCCACAGCCUGCACUCCACACACCCCAGAGAAGCCAAGUUCCACCAACGCAGAGGCAGCAAGGUGACUUCAAAUGUGCUCAUUCCACAGCUCCCCCACUCCAUUUUCCCUCCAAAAAAGGCACAACUGCCCAAAACUCCCUGCAGAAUCCACCCAUCAGUAUUUAGGCUGAGAACACAGGAAUUGUAGCGAUUUGUCUGACAUCAUUUUCCAGAGAGUUCCCCCCUGGCCUUGGUGUUAUCACUGCGUUUCUGUGCUCUCUCAGCAGUGGGGUGCCUGGGGUGAUGGGGACUCCAGGCUGUACUGGUGGAGCUGCCCAAGGCUGGGGACAAUGAGUGGGUAACUCACAGUGCCCCGUGGGAUGCUCUUCCUUCACUUUGUUCAGGCUAAAAUGUAAUUUAAUUAUUAAAAUACACCUUGGGAAGAGCUUCAGGUUGAGCAGGCCAAGGACAAAACCCUCCCAGAUUCUAUGGCAGUGCUGAGUCUGGGGACUGCUUGGUGAAGGUGUGACUCCUGGACACGGCUUGGGACAAGUGUCCCUGUCUGUCCCCAGGCAGUGCUCUGGGGGGAGCACACAGGCACUCAAUUAGAAUCAAGCUCACCUUCCUGGGAUGUGACUCCUCUGGGGCAGUGGCAUCUACUUCUGGGCAAGCAAGGGUUGCUGGGCACAGAGAGAUGGUCCCCAAACACUGCUCCACAGUGCAGGCAUGCUGCCCGCAGCAGCCACCCAGCACGAGCCAUCCUGCUCACGAGCACAAAGCAUGCAGGGGACCAGGACACCAGGUCACAGGAAUGUCCCCACGCUUACUCCACCCUUCUCUACUGUCACUCCAAGUGGGUUUUCUUGUUUUGCACCGGCAGCAGGGCCGGGCGGUGGCAGGGCUCUGGCUGGCCGGGCUGUGCCGGGCAGGGUGGGCACAGCCAGGGUGGGCACAGCUCUGCCCGCUCCCAGCUUUGGCCGCUGGCUGUUAACACCGGGGCUUUAUGCUCCUUAUCACCAGGACGUGGUUUAUUCCCAGGAAGGAAGCCAGGCAAGAGCACACUAUUAAAAUGCUCCAGUGGCCUUUGCAACGGGAAGCCCUCGGGCUUUGCCAAGCAGAUGCCUCAAAUUAAGGAAGGGGGAUGCAAGGAAUGGCCUUUAAGCGCCAGGAGGCUGCCCCAGUGCCCCACACUGCCUCCCUCCCCCCUCACCCUCCCUGGGGGGGUCCCUGGGCUGAGCAGAGGGGAGCGUGGUGGCCCCCCCGUUGCGUGGAGCAGGCAGGAAGGGCAGAUUGAGUUAUCUCCUGUGCCGGGGGCCGAGGGCGGGCGCUGCGCUGGCACCCGGCCCGGUGCAAUUACUGCAGCGGCAAUUACUGCAGCGGCACGGUGCGCAGCGAUGAUGCCACGCUGCAGGAAUGGCAGGGGUGGCUCGCCUCUGUUCCUGGGGCUCCCCAGGGCUGCCAGGCUGGGACUGGGCUCAUUCAGCCGUGCCCUGCAGCCGCUUCUCCCAGCCCACAUGAGGGGUCCCACACCUUCCCGGCUGUGCACCCCAGAAUGUGCUGCUCUGGAUGUUUCCCCUCCCGGAACUUCUGCCUUGCAAUAAGCGUGGGGACAUUCCUGUGACCUGGUGUCCUGGUUUCCUGCAUGCCUUGUGCUCGUGAGCAGGAUCGAGCUCUCAUUUCUACCACACGCUGCACAUUCCUGGUCUUCCCGGUCACAGAGGGAAGCCUGAAAAUGGACCUGAAGGUGAAAAGAAAACGAGUCCCAUGCCUAUCCCUCUCCCAGGGGAUUGUAGACAGCUAUGGUGGUGGGAUGUAGUGUGGCACUUUCCAGCCUCUCCUCAACCAGAAUUCACUUCUCUUUCCCCAACUACAAUAUUUGUUUCUCUCUGAAAAAUGUGCCUCCUGUCGUUGUCCUGCCCUGUGAUACCCAGGCAGCAGAACACAGUCCCCACCACGCUGUGACAGCUGUUUCUUCCCACUGCACUCACUCCUCCUGCCCCCCAUUUGCCCUGGGCUCCCAGUUGCCCUGGUGGAUCCUGAGAUUGCAAUUUUUGGUAAGCUUCCCUCCCUCACAUCCCAGGUGCUGGCUUGGACUCCCAAAGCUGGGAUGCUCACACAUCUCUGUCACCUGCUUUGUUUCUCUUCUCCAACCUUGGCUCUGGGUCAGGGUUUGCUGUUGCUCUGCUUCACAGAAGGACCCUAAAGCCCCAGCACUCAUCUAGCACUCAGGGAAUCCCCAAUCAUAUUUCUCCUAGCAGACCCCCAUUAGCUCUGCUGCCUGUGCCUGCUGACCAUCCCAUGGGAUUUCCACAUGGGGACAGCCACCUGCCACCCAGCUGCUUCUGCUGCAGCAUGCAGGGAGCUCCCACUGCCCUCAAGUGACCUUGUUUGGGGCCUGAUGGGUAUUAAUCCGUGCUCAACAGGCCACUGGGUGAACAGGCCAGCUGGUACUUGAGGGGUGGAGAGGCAUGAGGGCAGCAAAGAGGGAGCUGCUCCUGGACAGAUCCAAACCAGGGCCAGAGAUGCAGGGAGAGCUGAAGCCUGUAUUGCAGCACGGGAAAGCAGCUGGUGAGGGGGGAAGGUGAUCCUGGUCCCCAGGGCCACUGCCCGACCGGGUGCUGGAGGAUGUGGCUCUCCUGUCCCAGCUCCCAGGCGCUGCUGCAGGAGGCUGGCACGCAGCAUCCGCCCCAAUGCAUCCCAGUGGCACAGGGCACGGGCAGGCCAGCGAUGCCCCGGGUUCAUUGCGAUGCUGAGCUCCUUCGCAGGGAGGGGAUGGAGAAUGGAACUGAAUAUUUAAUGCUGACAAAGUGCCUUGAUGCUGGUGGCUGGAAGGCGCCAGGGAGGGAUGGGAGCCGUGAUCAGGGUACUGCUCACUGUGCACAGCUCACGCAGGGCAGGGUGGCACCGGCGUGUCCUCUGCCCUGGUGUUCUGUACCCUCAGCUGAUGAGGGCAGAUUUAUGGGUCUACAGCCCUGUUUUGCACCCAGCAAGAGCACCAUGGGGUAGAGUAGUGGGGCACAACAGGGGCUGGGGGCUGAGGAUGGCACCAGGCACUGGUCCCAGCCCAUUUGCAGGUGAGCUGUGCCCUGCAUUGCUGCUUGGAAUGGUUUCUCCUUGGAAGGAUAUGGGGGGGAGGGGGGCAAUACAA
This is a non-coding RNA of Taeniopygia guttata (zebra finch), 5172 nucleotides long. Lineage: Eukaryota; Metazoa; Chordata; Aves; Passeriformes; Estrildidae. The record is from RefSeq and is a predicted model, not a curated record.